This 712-nucleotide ribosomal RNA is filed under the name uncultured marine bacterium. RNAcentral describes it as "bacterial SSU rRNA". It matches the Rfam family "Bacterial small subunit ribosomal RNA", at positions 36 to 794 of the family's 1533-position model. The record is from RNAcentral.
CUGGCGGCAGGCCUAACACAUGCAAGUCGAGCGCACUCUUCGGAGUGAGCGGCGGACGGGUUAGUAACGCGUGGGAACAUACCCUUUUCUACGGAAUAGCCUCGGGAAACUGAGAGUAAUACCGUAUACGCCCUUUUGGGGAAAGAUUUAUCGGUGAAGGAUUGGCCCGCGUUUGAUUAGAUAGUUGGUGGGGUAAUGGCCUACCAAGUCUACGAUCAAUAGCUGGUUUGAGAGGAUGAUCAGCAACACUGGGACUGAGACACGGCCCAGACUCCUACGGGAGGCAGCAGUGGGGAAUCUUAGACAAUGGGCGCAAGCCUGAUCUAGCCAUGCCGCGUGAGUGACGAAGGCCUUAGGGUCGUAAAGCUCUUUCGCCAGGGAUGAUAAUGACAGUACCUGGUAAAGAAACCCCGGCUAACUCCGUGCCAGCAGCCGCGGUAAUACGGAGGGGGUUAGCGUUGUUCGGAAUUACUGGGCGUAAAGCGUACGUAGGCGGAUUGGAAAGUAUGGGGUGAAAUCCCAGGGCUCAACCCUGGAACUGCCCUGUAAACUAUCAGUCUAGAGUUCGAGAGAGGUGAGUGGAAUUCCAAGUGUAGAGGUGAAAUUCGUAGAUAUUUGGAGGAACACCAGUGGCGAAGGCGGCUCACUGGCUCGAUACUGACGCUGAGGUACCAAAGUGUGGGGAGCAAACAGGAUUAGAUACCCUGGUAGU